Molecule: long non-coding RNA, 239 nt
Organism: Hyposmocoma kahamanoa
Lineage: Eukaryota; Metazoa; Arthropoda; Insecta; Lepidoptera; Cosmopterigidae
Exons: 3
Source: RefSeq, a predicted model, not a curated record
AGCCUGGGAGAUACUACUACCAUGCGGGCAAUGGUUUGAUAACAUUAACGCCGUAAAAUUGAUCGAAAAGCCUGUCAAAGGCCUUACGCUAUCCGGGGACCAACGCACAGAUGCUCUAAUUGUAUUGAUAUCUACUUAUUCAGUACUGAUUAUACUAAAGUUGUUGGUCAUAAUUAUUUUAGUCUAUCAGAUCUGCUCAAAUCUAAUAAAAAAAAGAAAUGAAGAAAAUGAACAAGAUG